AUGACCAGAGAUACUUUAGCUUUGCUUGAUCUACCAAAGGCUCAGGCCCGGCUGCUUCCGGGCCAUGGAUGGAGGCUACCUGAGGAGGGGGAGGUCAAGAUAAACACUAAUGAAAGUGUUGCAUUGGAAGCUCGAAGAGGAGGGGUGGGAGGAGUUGCUCGAUCCCAUUCCACUUUCAGAGCUGCAUGGUGUAAACCUUAUCAGGGGAUUACCGACCCCCUUAUCUCUGAAACCCUAGCAAUCCGGGACGGUGUCAUAUUUGCUAAGCUCAGGGGUUAUGAGAAAGUCGUGAUAGAAUCCGACUGCCUGGAGGUCGUUAAUCUCUGGAACUCGCGUCCUGGUGAUAGGACUGUUGUGGCGCCCAUCCUGUCCGAAAUUUUGGAGCAUUCUUCUAGUUUUUCUUUCUGUAUUCAAUAUAUUUCAAGAACAGCCAACUACCCUGCUCACCUAUGUGCUAGACAUGCAAGCAUACUGGAUGUAACAGAAUGUUGGUUUGACUCUGCCCCUGGCAUCAUUGUAACUAGCCUCCUUGCAGAUUCUGCAGGGGCUUCGAUUGUUGAAUAA
This 564-nucleotide ribosomal RNA is filed under the name Triticum aestivum (bread wheat). Its description in RNAcentral is "partial small subunit ribosomal RNA". Lineage: Eukaryota; Viridiplantae; Streptophyta; Magnoliopsida; Poales; Poaceae. The record is from RNAcentral.